Pelobates cultripes (western spadefoot toad) is the source of this 252-nucleotide non-coding RNA. Lineage: Eukaryota; Metazoa; Chordata; Amphibia; Anura; Pelobatidae. The record is from the annotation of a GenBank genome assembly.
CAUAGAUACACUACUACAACCAUUGGUAAUAAAAAAUCCUUCACACUUAAAAGACACUAUCUACACUCUACAGUUACUCAACAACAUACAAUGGGACUCAAAUUUCCAUCUGGUCACCAGCGACGUAACAUCCCUAUAUACCAUCAUCCCUCAUGAAAUAGGAAUUAGGGCUGUACAAUAUUUUCUACACAAAUCUGAUUUCCAUGACGACCAAAUCCAGUUUAUUCUGGAAGGCAUUUACCUCAUUCUCAC